Molecule: long non-coding RNA, 2078 nt
Filed under: Amphibalanus amphitrite
Lineage: Eukaryota; Metazoa; Arthropoda; Thecostraca; Balanomorpha; Balanidae
Description: uncharacterized LOC122368980, transcript variant X2
Source: RNAcentral
UAAAGACACAACACUGGGCUGAUCAAUGACCUGUAAAUCUCCUCCCCUAGAGCCAAGGACAAAAAAGCCAAAAAAGCCAAAAAAAGAAGCAAAAAAGAAAAAAGCAAUAUUCAAAACAAUGAGAAUCAAAAUAAAAGACCCCAGAAUGGCAAAAUGGCAAAAAAAAAAACAAAAACAAAAAAAAAUUAUAGAAGGGGCAAUCCGGCUACCCGGGAGGAGAUAGCUAGGAACCCAGUCCCACCCCUCAGCCCACCCUUACGAGCCAAGAAGACAACGGACACUUCAAGGCAACGGACGGACCAACAACGAAGACGGACGACAGAACCGGGCCCAAAUACAGGACGCUGUGGUGGCCCGUAAGCUACAAAUACCAUACCAUACCAUACCAGUGCAUCAUGCAUCAGAAUAAGCUUCAUUGAACACACUCGUCAUCAUGAACGGCAUCUAGGAGUUUCAUGAGUUUGGAUCUGUGACCAGCUGAUUUCGCAGUAUCCAAUGGCAACCGUGUAUGACCAGGCGCCGCUUGGACGCCUUGUCCAGUCACGUCUUCUGGGACUGUGUGAUGACUGCCUCUGCAUUCUCAAGUGCCAGUUUCUGCCUCCGGCCCAUUUCAUUAUCAAAGGAUGCUGUUAGCUUAACGAACAGCUCUGCUCCAAGAUUCCAAACGGUUUUACGGUACUGUAUGCCUACAAAACGUUAAUAUUUUUUGGAGGCGGUAAUACUCGGAUGAACUGACCUUUAUGGGUGGGUAUUCAACGUUGAAUAAAGUAGGCUUGUAGCCCUCUGCCUAUUGACUUCUAAGGGUUUUAGUAAUAUUUAUCGAAUAUCUCAUCUGAUAUGCAUUUUCACUCACAGUCGUCGAAAUCGAAAAAUCAUAAGCUUAGAAAUCCGCGGACUUGACAUAUUAUAUUUUAUCGACGAUUCGUUUCGACUUGCUGUCAUGUCAGCUAAUCAUCCGUUGCUUCUCCUAUUUUCACAGGUGCAUUACCUGUCAUCUUUACCGUCGAUACCGUUGAAGAUUUUACCGUCGAUCACGGAGCACCCAUUGCGCUGGCCGUUGCUGGCACUUUUUUAUUUGUCACUAGCUAUUAGUUAUCUGCAGAUAUACAUUAGCCACCUGUACACCCGCUUACACUAGCUCUCAUCAUCUAGUUCUACGUAUGUGUGUGUUUGUUUUAAUUGUAUUGCCGAUGAAUUCGGUAGACAUGCUCCGCCCGCAAACAUGUACCACAUGAUGCAGUUCACUGAAUGUAGCAGUUAAUCACUCGUAAAAAGCGGUCAUGUUUUCGUAUAGUGUAGGUAUGCAUCUAUGUAAGCAUGUGUUCACACUCAUGAGCGAUCCACACAUGAUAUUGCAUUUCCUGUUCAGUUAUAUUUUUAGCACUGGAACACGAUGCUCAUACACUGUGUUGUUAUCUUUCUUUUUUCGCCUGCUCCUUCCUCCAACUUGUGUCUUUGAGUAUUUCAGUCACAUGCUCAAACGUUCUUAAAUGCUCUCGCCAUCGGUUUACGGAUGCGUUGAAAACGGACAUGUGAUGACCAAAUUUAACAAUAUGCGGACAAUGGAUCGACUUCUUGAAGCCUGUGGACGUGAUACACCUUCUCCAUCACCAUCAAGAGAUCAACAUUUUCGAAGACACUUGCGUACGGCUGCAGUGUCCGGCGCAAUGCUGAAUGCGACCUGUUAUCUGUUGGAUCUACUCUGUGAGCCCGAACCCCAGUGCAAGCCUCGGCUGCAGCACAAGCCACAUUCAUCGGCCCAAUCAUCAGUUAUUCAUCCUGCAAGUUUUAAGUCACUUCGUUGUGACCCGGACAUCGUCAUCUUUCAACGAGUUCAAAUGAUUAUUUCAUUCAUCAUCGUCGAUCAGACUCAUCAUGUAAAGACACUUCCAUAAUGCUAGCCGCCAUCUACGUUUGUGCAGGAAGCAAAUAUCAGGUUGUUAUUAGCUGCGGGCUACUCAGUACCGACUGAACUACUGGCAGUAGUGUGCGAGCACCUAAUACUUGUAUUGUGAUACCAAAGCUAAAACGGAUGAUAGCUUAGCGCAUAGGGCCCUACCGCUUUCCACACACACACA